GACGAACGCUGGCGGCGUGCCUAACACAUGCAAGUCGAACGGCAAGGCCCUGCUUUUGUGGGGUGACCGAGUGGCGAACGGGUGCGUAACACGUGAGUAACCUGCCCUUGAUUUUCGGAUAACUUAAGGAAACUGGGGCUACUACCAGAUAGGAGCCCCCGCUGCGUGGUGGGCGUUGGAUCGUCUCGGCGGGUGGGGAUGGACGCGCGGCUUAUCAGCUUGUUGGUUGGGUAGUGGAUUACCCAGGCUUUGACUGGUAACCCGCCUGUGAGGGUGACCGGCCACAAUAGGACUGAGAGAGGCCCCAGACUCCAACGGGAGACAGCGGUGGGGAGCAUUGCACAGUGAUCGGGAGCCUGUGGCGGCGACGCUGCGUGCGGGAAGACGGUCUGCUGGGUGUGAACCGCUUUCGCCUGUGACGAAGCGUGAGUGACGGUAAUGAAUAAAUAAGCACCGGCUAACUACGUG
This 468-nucleotide ribosomal RNA is filed under the name uncultured bacterium. RNAcentral's name for it is "partial 16S ribosomal RNA". It matches the Rfam family "Bacterial small subunit ribosomal RNA", at positions 28 to 507 of the family's 1533-position model. The record is from RNAcentral.